This 341-nucleotide unclassified non-coding RNA is filed under the name soil metagenome. RNAcentral's name for it is "partial contains 5.8S ribosomal RNA, internal transcribed spacer 2, and large subunit ribosomal RNA". The stretch from base 1 to 120 matches the Rfam family "5.8S ribosomal RNA", at positions 35 to 154 of the family's 154-position model. The record is from RNAcentral.
GAUGAAGAACGCAGCAAAAUGCGAUAAGUAAUGUGAAUUGCAGAAUUCAGUGAAUCAUCGAAUCUUUGAACGCACAUUGCGCCCUUUGGUAUUCCAAAGGGCAUGCCUGUUCGAGCGUCAUUUGUACCCUCAAGCUUUGCUUGGUGUUGGGCGUCUUGUCUCUAGCUUUGCUGGAGACUCGCCUUAAAGUAAUUGGCAGCCGGCCUACUGGUUUCGGAGCGCAGCACAAGUCGCACUCUCUAUCAGCAAAGGUCUAGCAUCCAUUAAGCCUUUUUUUCAACUUUUGACCUCGGAUCAGGUAGGGAUACCCGCUGAACUUAAGCAUAUCAAUAAGCGGAGGA